UACGUAGGUGGCAAGCGUUAUCCGGAUUUAUUGGGCGUAAAGGGAACGCAGGCGGUCUUUUAAGUCUGAUGUGAAAGCCUUCGGCUUAACCGGAGUAAUGCAUUGGAAACUGGUAGACUUGAGUGCAGGAGAGGAGAGUGGAAUUCCAUGUGUAGCGGUGAAAUGCGUAGAUAUAUGGAGGAACACCGGUGGCGAAAGCGGCUCUCUGGCCUGUAACUGACACUGAGGCUCGAAAGCGUGGGGAGCAAACAGG
RNAcentral lists this ribosomal RNA (253 nucleotides) under uncultured bacterium. RNAcentral describes it as "partial 16S ribosomal RNA". It matches the Rfam family "Bacterial small subunit ribosomal RNA", at positions 524 to 776 of the family's 1533-position model. The record is from RNAcentral.